UUGAACGCUGGCGGCAGGCCUCACACAUGCCAGUCGAACGGUAACAGGAAGCAGCUUGCUGCUUCGCUGACGAGUGGCGGACGGGUGAGUAAUGUCUGGGAAACUGCCUGGUGGAGGGGGAUAACUACUGGAAACGGUAGCUAAUACCGCAUAACGUCGCAAGACCGAAGAGGGGGACCUUAGGGCCUCUUGCCAUCGGAUGUGCCCAGAUGGGAUUAGCUAGUAGGUGGGGUAACGGCUCACCUAGGCGACGAUCCCUAGCUGGUCUGAGAGGAUGACCAGCCACACUGGAACUGAGACACGGUCCAGACUCCUACGGGAGGCAGCAGUGGGGAAUAUUGCACAAUGGGCGCAAGCCUGAUGCAGCCAUGCCGCGUGUAUGAAGAAGGCCUUCGGGUUAAAGUACUUUCAGCGGGGAGGAAGGGAGUAAAGUUAAUACCUUUGCUCAUUGACGUUACCCGCAGAAGAAGCACCGGCUAACUCCGUG
This 487-nucleotide ribosomal RNA is filed under the name uncultured bacterium. Its description in RNAcentral is "partial 16S ribosomal RNA". It matches the Rfam family "Bacterial small subunit ribosomal RNA", at positions 30 to 507 of the family's 1533-position model. The record is from RNAcentral.